ACGCCUAAUACAUGCAAGUCGAACGAAGUAGCAAUACUUAGUGGCAGACGGGUGAGUAACAUGUGGGUAUCUUCCCUUUGGUGAGGAAUAACACGAGGAAACUUGUGCUAAUACCUCAUAAGUCUUUACGGAGAAAGCUUUAUGCGCCAAUGGAUGAGCCCGCACUUGAUUAGUUAGUUGGUAGGGUAAUGGCCUACCAAGACAUUGAUCAAUAGCUGAUUUGAGAGGAUGAUCAGCCACAUUGGGACUGAGACACGGCCCAAACUCCUACGGGAGGCAGCAGUAGGGAAUCUUGCACAAUGGGGGCAACCCUGAUGCAGCGAUGCCGCGUGAGUGAAGAAGGCCUUUGGGUUGUAAAGCUCUUUCGUCGGGGAAGAAAAUGACUGUACCCGAAUAAGAAGGUCCGGCUAACUUCGUGCCAGCAGCCGCGGUAAUACGAAGGGACCUAGCGUAGUUCGGAAUUACUGGGCUUAAAGAGUUCGUAGGUGGUUAAAAAAGUUGGUGGUGAAAUCCCAGAGCUUAACUCUGGAACUGCCAUCAAAACUUUUUAGCUAGAGUAUGAUAGAGGAAAGCAGAAUUUCUAGUGUAGAGGUGAAAUUCGUAGAUAUUAGAAAGAAUACCAAUUGCGAAGGCAGCUUUCUGGAUCAUUACUGACACUGAGGAACGAAAGCAUGGGUAGCGAAGAGGAUUAGAUACCCUCGUAGUCCAUGCCGUAAACGAUGUGUGUUAGACGUUGGAAAUUUUUUUCAGUGUCUCAGCGAAAGCAAUAAACACACCGCCUGGGGAGUACG
Molecule: ribosomal RNA, 791 nt
Filed under: uncultured Pelagibacteraceae bacterium
Lineage: Bacteria; Pseudomonadati; Pseudomonadota; Alphaproteobacteria; Candidatus Pelagibacterales; Candidatus Pelagibacteraceae
Description: bacterial SSU rRNA
Rfam family: Bacterial small subunit ribosomal RNA
Source: RNAcentral